AACCGGGGCCGGCUGCUGUGCAUGCUGCUGCUGACCUUCAUGUUCAUGGUGCUGGAGGUGGUGGUGAGCCGGGUGACCUCGUCGCUGGCGAUGCUCUCCGACUCCUUCCACAUGCUGUCGGACGUGCUGGCGCUGGGGUGGCGCUGGUGGCCGAGCGCUUCGCCCGGCGGACCCAGGCCACCCAGAAGAACACGUUCGGCUGGAUCCGGGCCGAGGUGAUGGGGGCUCUGGUGAACGCCAUCUUCCUGACCGGCCUCUGCUUCGCCAUCCUGCUGGAGGCCAUCGAGCGCUUCAUCGAGCCGCACGAGAUGCAGCAGCCGCUGGUGGUCCUCGGGGUCGGCGUGGCGGGGCUGCUGGUCAACGUGCUGGGGCUCUGCCUCUUCCACCAUCACAGCGGCUUCAGCCUGGACUCCGGCCACGGCCACUCGCACGGGGGGCACGGCCACGGCCUCCCCAAGGGGG
Molecule: RNA transcript, 462 nt
Organism: Carlito syrichta (Philippine tarsier)
Lineage: Eukaryota; Metazoa; Chordata; Mammalia; Primates; Tarsiidae
Gene name: zinc transporter 1-like
Exons: 1
Source: RefSeq, a predicted model, not a curated record